This is a long non-coding RNA of Cygnus olor (mute swan), 1610 nucleotides long. RefSeq lists it as uncharacterized. Lineage: Eukaryota; Metazoa; Chordata; Aves; Anseriformes; Anatidae. The transcript is spliced from 2 exons. The record is from RefSeq and is a predicted model, not a curated record.
GGCGGGCGGCGGGCUGGGCCGCCUGCCUUAUCGGCCGGCCUCUUCCGUCAGAUAACUAGUGACGGGACCAGAGGGAGCGGCCUCGGGUUGCGCCAGGGGAGGUUCAGGUUGGAAGUGAGGAGACAUUUCUUCUCAGAAGGAGCAGUCAGGCGUUGGGACGGGUUGCCCAGGGAGGUGGUGGCGUCACCGUCCCUGGGGGUGUUCAAGGAAAGGUUGGACGUGGCGCUUAGGGAUAUGGUUUAGUGGGUGACAUUGGUGGUAGGGGGAUGGUUGGACCAAUGGUCUUGGAGGUCUCUCCCACCCCUAACGAUCCUGUGAUCCUCCUCUUGGUGUCCCCAUUAGUACCUGAAGCUCGGGGCAGCAGCUUAUCUGCACCUCCCGUGGCCUCGUUUACUUUCAGAGUAUGCCGUCAGCAACACCUGUGCAGGCAAACCUGCGUUCACAGGCGCCUGUUAACUUCUUAACUCGGUUAUGCGAUUGCACGGGCAGUCAGAGUUUAACCUGAGAAACGUUUUCAUGCGGGUGGUGGCAGACUGAUGUGGAACUGAAGCUGUCAAUAUUCAGAAUUAAAUCUCCAGACUGACCUUUACACUAAAAAUUCAUUACUAAAGUACUAAUUGCAUCAACUGGCCAAAAGGCAACGUGAUCGUAGUGUAGCAAAGACGCUCAGUAGCCCAAGACUAUAUGCUGUGGUGUUGAAUUGCUUUUUUGGAUGUCUGUUCUGGUGAAGUCAGAGGAGAAACACUGUUGUCAAAGAUUGUGGCUGUUGAGGAUUUUUCAUUUCGUGUUGCCAACCUAUUUCAAGUAUACAGGUCAAUGGCUACGUGGAAUACUAAAGUCAUGUUACUAAUUUGGGGUGUGUUUUCUUAACAUCCAUUUAGUAGAGAUGUUUUAGAGUGAAGUACUAAGAUAAGGUCCAAAACCAUAACCUGUCAUUUACUGAACUUACUUGUGUUUUAGUUCAUGAGUUCAUUUUCCAGAAAAUGUACUGAAGGGGUUUAGAGAUUUUAUGCUACUUCAAAUACGUUUUUUCCCCAAAAUAUCACUGGUCUUUGAAUUCAAACGCAUUAAUAUUUGCAUGCAUUAAUAUUUGCAUUUACAUUUGCAUCCUGCUGUCUUGAUUGUAGAAGCCUGCCUUGUGCCAUCUGAUUCAUGGAUCAGUGACAGUCAGCCUGUAUAACCUUCGUACCUUACAGUUAAUAUCUGUGAAUUAUUUUCAAGGGAAAAGAUCUCUCCUGCCAGAUGUGUUGUGUGGCUGCCGUGCCUAACGAACAUGACACAUAAGCAAGGCGCUGAACGCUGUAGGCACAUCCUGUAGUGGAAGCUAUUCUUAGAGCAGCGCUGAUGUGACUAAAUGUGAAACGUGGAUGCUCCGUAAGGAACCUGAGACGCUGUGAAACUUGAAUGCCGUGUUUUGGUGGUCAGAAGGUGCCUCAGAGUAACCUACAGCCCCCUUCUAGCAUCCAGCUCCACAUGCACAACUUCUGAGAGACUUCAGAUAUUCGUAUUUGGGGAGAGGCAGGAGGCAUGAAGCUCAUGUUUCUUUUUUUUGUUGUUGUUGCUUCAUUUUUGGGGGUAAAUUUUGUUAUUUCAUAUUAAAUAUUUCAGCU